This 64-nucleotide transfer RNA is filed under the name Pasteurella multocida. Its description in RNAcentral is "tRNA-Ser". It matches the Rfam family "tRNA". Rfam says of the family: Transfer RNA (tRNA) molecules are approximately 80 nucleotides in length. Their secondary structure includes four short double-helical elements and three loops (D, anti-codon, and T loops). The record is from RNAcentral. Lineage: Bacteria; Pseudomonadati; Pseudomonadota; Gammaproteobacteria; Pasteurellales; Pasteurellaceae.
GCGGGAAUAGCUCAGUUGGUAGAGCACAACCUGGUCGCGAGUUCGAGCCUCGUUUCCCGCUCCA